AGAUUAAGCCAUGCAUGUCUCAGUACUUGCUUUUACAAGGCGAAACCGCGAAUGGCUCAUUAAAUCAGUUAUGGUUCACUAGAUCGUAAAUUUUACACGGAUAACUGUGGUAAUUCUAGAGCUAAUACGUGCAACCAGCUCGCUUCCUUGUGGAGCGAGCGCAGUUAUUAGAACAAGACCAAUCCGGCCUUCGGGUCGGUACAUUUGGUGACUCUGAAUAACCGAAGCGGAGCGCAUGGUCUCGUACCGGCGCCAGAUCUUUCAAGUGUCUGACUUAUCAGCUUGUUGUUAGGUUAUGUUCCUAACAAGGCUUCAACGGGUAACGGGGUAUCAGGGUCCGAUACCGGAGAGGGAGCCUGAGAAACGGCUACCACAUCCAAGGAAGGCAGCAGGCGCGCAAAUUACCCACUCCUAGCACAGGGAGGUAGUGACGAAA
RNAcentral lists this ribosomal RNA (436 nucleotides) under Tardigrada sp. H004 MOTU008. Its description in RNAcentral is "SSU rRNA". It matches the Rfam family "Eukaryotic small subunit ribosomal RNA", at positions 41 to 475 of the family's 1831-position model. The record is from RNAcentral. Lineage: Eukaryota; Metazoa; Tardigrada.